GAUUAAUCAGGUUACUGGUGAUCAAUCAGGUUACUGGUGAUCAAUCAGGUUACUGGUGAUCAAUCAGGUAACUGGUGAUCGAUCAGGUUACUGGUGAUCAAUCAAGUAACUGGUGAUCGAUCAGGUAACUGGUGAUCGAUCAGGUUACUGGUGAUCGAUCAGGUUGCUGAUAAUCGAUCAGGUUGCUGGUGAUCAAUCAGGUUACUGGUGAUCGAUCAGGUUGCUGAUGAUCGAUCUGGUUGCUGGUGAUCGAUCAGGUUGCUGAUGAUCGAUUUAGUUGCUGGUGAUCAAUCAGGUUACUGGUGAUCGAUCAGGUUACUGGUGAUCGAUCAGGUUACUGGUGAUCGAUCAGGUUAUUGGUGAUCAAUCAGGUAUCUGGUGAUCGAUCAGGUUACUCGUGAUCGAUCAGGUUACUGGUGAUCGAUCAAGUUACUGGUGAUCGAUCAGGUUACUGGUGAUUGAUCAGGUUACUGGUGAUCAAUCAGGUUAAUGGUGAUCAAUACCAGUACAG
Long non-coding RNA from Epinephelus moara (kelp grouper), 511 nucleotides. RefSeq lists it as uncharacterized. The record is from RefSeq and is a predicted model, not a curated record. Lineage: Eukaryota; Metazoa; Chordata; Actinopteri; Perciformes; Serranidae. The transcript is spliced from 3 exons.